GUGUAAUGAUGAAUUUUAUGGAUUCCCAAGUAAUAUCUAAAUUACAAAAAUCUCCUUGAGAAUAGAUCGAACAUACAAGUAGUCCAUUAAUGUUAACAGGAAUCUCAUUACCAUGUCAUUAUAGAUUUUGAAAUGACAAAAAUAGCCUCGAACAAAGGGUUAAAAAAAAUUCUUCUAACUUCGUCUCCUCGACAUCCUCGGCCCUUUCCGCCAC
Molecule: long non-coding RNA, 214 nt
Filed under: Elaeis guineensis (African oil palm)
Lineage: Eukaryota; Viridiplantae; Streptophyta; Magnoliopsida; Arecales; Arecaceae
Description: long non-coding RNA (EGUI_LNC007841)
Source: RNAcentral